GCCGAUUUAGCUCAGGGGUAGAGCUACUGUCUUGUAAACAGUGGGUCGGGAGUUCGAAUCUCUCAAUCGGCACCA
RNAcentral lists this transfer RNA (75 nucleotides) under Alphaproteobacteria bacterium. RNAcentral's name for it is "tRNA-Thr". It matches the Rfam family "tRNA". Rfam says of the family: Transfer RNA (tRNA) molecules are approximately 80 nucleotides in length. Their secondary structure includes four short double-helical elements and three loops (D, anti-codon, and T loops). The record is from RNAcentral. RNAcentral also lists the same sequence under 2 other names. Lineage: Bacteria; Pseudomonadati; Pseudomonadota; Alphaproteobacteria.